AAGGAUCAUUACAGAGUUCAUGCCCUCACGGGUAGAUCUCCCACCCUUGAAUAUUAUACCUUAGUUGCUUUGGCAGGCCGGGGCAACCCCCGGGGCUUCGGCCUUGGUGUGCCUGCCAGAGGAAACAAACUCUGUUUUUAGUGAUGUCUGAGUACUAUAUAAUAGUUAAAACUUUCAACAACGGAUCUCUUGGUUCUGGCAUCGAUGAAGAACGCAGCGAAAUGCGAUAAGUAAUGUGAAUUGCAGAAUUCAGUGAAUCAUCGAAUCUUUGAACGCACAUUGCGCCCCGUGGUAUUCCGCGGGGCAUGCCUGUUCGAGCGUCAUUUCAACCCAUCAAGCUUCGGCUUGGUCUUGGGGCGUGCGAUUCCGCAGCCUCUAAACCCAGUGGCGGUGCCUCCGAGCUCUGAGCGUAGUAAUUCUUCUCGCUAUAGGGUCUCGGUGGUGUCUUGCCAGUAACCCCCAAUUUUUUACAGGUUGACCUCGGAUCAGGUAGGGAUACCCGCUGAACUUAAGCAUAUCAAUAAGCGGAGGAAAAGAAACCAACAGGGAUUACCUCAGUAACGGCGAGUGAAGCGGUAACAGCUCAAAUUUGAAAUCUGCCGCAAGGCCGAGUUGUAAUUUGUAGAAGAUGCUUUGGGUAUGGCCCCGGUCUAAGUUCGUUGGAACACGACGUCAUAGAGGGUGAGAAUCCCGUAUGUGACUGGGUGCUUUUGCCUAUGUAAAGCUCUUUCGACGAGUCGAGUUGUUUGGGAAUGCAGCUCAAAAUGGGUGGUAUAUUUCAUCUAAAGCUAAAUAUUGGCCAGAGACCGAUAGCGCACAAGUAGAGUGAUCGAAAGAUGAAAAGCACUUUGGAAAGAGAGUUAAACAGUACGUGAAAUUGUUGAAAGGGAAGCGCUUGCAACCAGACUUGCACGCUGUUGAUCAUCCAGGCUUCUGUCUGGUGCACUCGGCAGCGUUCAGGCCAGCAUCGGUUCUGGUGGUGGGAUAAAGGCCUUGGGAAUGUAGCUUCUUUCGGGGAGUGUUAUAGCCCUCGGUGCAAUGCCGCCUAUCGGGACCGAGGACCGCGCUUCGGCUAGGAUGCUGGCGUAAUGGUUGUAAGCGACC
Molecule: ribosomal RNA, 1104 nt
Filed under: uncultured Lemonniera
Lineage: Eukaryota; Fungi; Ascomycota
Description: eukaryotic LSU rRNA
Rfam family: Eukaryotic large subunit ribosomal RNA (bases 476-1104)
Source: RNAcentral